CUACGUGUCUUAAUCUUGUUGGUGGAACUAAAUAAUACAAAAAGAAAAAAAAAAUCCUCACUCGAUUUCUUUUCCUCUCUCUCUCUUUCUCUCGCGAUUGAAUACCCGACGAAGAAAUUUGGAAUCAGAAAAAGGGUUUGGAAUCGAAGGAUACUUGAAUCAGAGGAAGGGUUUGAAUCGAAGGAUCUGGAGAUGAUUAGCGAAAGCGAUUGACUCGGCGGAUUACUUUGGCGAUAGACAAAAUCGAGUCCGAGAUUUGGAGAUGGAUACGAUUUCAAGUUGGAGUCGAAAUAAUCGGAAGAGAUUGAAUCAAUUGGAAUCACAAGGAGGUAUCUCUACGGAUUCAAUUGAAUAUGCAGAAGAAACAGGAAUUUUCUGAGUACAGAGAGAAGGUUAACGAGAAACAGCUCAAUGAAGAGUCAAUUGAGAAGUAUGUUUUUGUAAUGAUGCAUCUUAUGGUGAUUGGAAAUUGAAACAUGAUGAUGAAGAUUGCCGUGUUAUGUACCGUGAAGGACUUAAAGGAAGCCCAUUUCAUACACUGCUCGUUGAAGGUUGCAUUGAUGGGACUAUCGAAGACUGUUGAUGGUGGAUUUGUGCUACCAGACAAAGCCUCUCUGCAUCUUACAGACAUAGACACUUUCUUGAAACGAUAUAGGGUGAUGCCGACAGUGGAGACAGUGGAGUCGACAGGCAAUGGCAGAAGAAGAAGGUUGAAGCCAAACAACAGUAAGACCAACAAGCUUUGUUUUCUAGUUUCUAGGUUUCUUUUUGAAAUCUAGAUGUGAACCUUUGUCUUCAUCAUAAUCUAUUUCUCUUCAUCAAAAUCUUCUCUUUUCACCUAUGUAACAUAUCCAUCAAAAGUUAAAUCAUGAUUCAUGAUGACUCUUAUUUAGUAUUCUCUACUACUAUAUCAAGUUUGAGUUUCAUAUUUACUA
Molecule: long non-coding RNA, 935 nt
Organism: Camelina sativa (false flax)
Lineage: Eukaryota; Viridiplantae; Streptophyta; Magnoliopsida; Brassicales; Brassicaceae
Source: RefSeq, a predicted model, not a curated record